Leopardus geoffroyi (Geoffroy's cat) is the source of this 1206-nucleotide long non-coding RNA. RefSeq lists it as uncharacterized. NCBI's taxonomy places the organism in Eukaryota, Metazoa, Chordata, Mammalia, Carnivora, Felidae. The transcript has 3 exons. The record is from RefSeq and is a predicted model, not a curated record.
GGGGCGCCUGGGUGGCGCAGUCGGUUAAGCAUCCUGACUUUGGCUCAGGUCAUGAUCUCACAGUUGGUGAUUUCGAAUCCCACAUCAAGCUCACUGUUGUCAGUGGAGAGGCCGCUUUUGAUCCUCUGUUUCCCUUUCUCUCUGUCCCUGUCCUAUUCGUGCUUUCUCUCUCAAAAAUAAAUAAACAUAAAAAAAUUCAUUUAUCAGUUACUAUUCCCAAGGUCCGUUUACAUUUUUUAAAGGGAACCUGGGGAGAACAAUGCUUAUCCCAAAAUGUAUCCUUUCCAAAUUCCUUCAGACUCCUGGCCCACACCUUCAUUGUCUGGAUACUGGGUGGUCCUUUUCUCAGAUAAGUGUUAACAGAUACCCUAUUGGGAACCCCUUUACAGGUGUGUUCUCCUUCCCUUCCUUUCCUUCAAUUGUUCAUUCAUUUUAUAAGCAUCUACUUAUAUGAUCUACUAUGUACAAGGCAAUUUUCUAGAUGCUCAUGACACAGAGAUAAAAGACACAUCUUUGCCCUUCAGAUGCCUUGUCUAUGGUGGAAGAUAGACAAGUAACAAAAUUAUUAGAAUUUUGGGAUAAGUGUUAGCAUAAAGUGUGCAUUUAAUGCAUGGGAGGGGAAGAGAAAUGAUCCUUUUGUUUUUAAACAUUAAGUAGGAAUUAGAGAAGGGAUUAAUGGGUAUACCAAGACAAUGGGGAUAGGUUUUGGGUUUUUUUUUUUUUUCCUUCAGAUUUCCAGGAUUUUAGGUCCCUAGGUCUAAGGCCAGCCAGGGAAGAAAGAAACACAAAAACAGGAAUUUUCUAAAAAUGAAAAAAAAAAAAAAAAAACACUAAGGAAAAGAGGCCCACAAGUCAAUCUAUUGAGGAAAAUAAGGAAACUCCUUUGGGAGUAGUUCCCGCCACUGACUUAUCUGGGGAUGAAGGUCCUGGCUUCCAGCAGUUGAGGGUAUGUGGCCUCCAACAGAUCCUAGCUGCCUGGCAUUGUCCCUUGUGAAGGCUCUUCUCUCUAUUCCUGGCUGAUGUGUUUCUCCACAUAAGACAGCUGCCUCCAAGGCCAUAUUCCUUACCCCAAGGAGAUCUUAGGUUGAGUCCUAACACUCCUAGAGCUUUGUCUUUUUUGGAACCUCUGCCAACAAGUCAUUCAUAUUAGGGGAAGCUUUUUGCUUUUGGGAGCCCUGUCCUGCCCCCCACUGGCUCUGCCCCUGC